RNAcentral lists this long non-coding RNA (1412 nucleotides) under Parus major (Great Tit). RNAcentral describes it as "lncRNA (ENSPMJG00000003958.1)". The record is from RNAcentral. Lineage: Eukaryota; Metazoa; Chordata; Aves; Passeriformes; Paridae.
GGGUUUUUUUGGGGUUUCUUUGGGAUUUCUUUGGAAUUUUUUUGGGAUUUUUUUGGGAUUUUUUUUGAAUUAUUUUUAAAUUUUUUGGGGAUUUUUUGGGGGAUUUUUUGGGAUUUUUUGGGGAUUUUUUUGGGAUUUUUUUUAGAUUUCUUUGGGAUUUUUUGGGAUUUUUUUCAGGAUUUUUUGGAAUUUUUUUGGGGAUUUUUUGGGAUUUUUUGGGGUUUUUUGGGGAUUUUAUUUUGGAUUUUUUUGGGAUUUUUUGGGGGAUUUUUUGAGGAUUUUUUGGGAUUUCUUUGGGAUCUUUUUGGGAUUUUUUUUUUAUUUUUUUUGAAUUUUUGGGGGAUUUUUCGGGGAUUUUUUUGGGGAUUUUUUGAGGAUUUUUUGGGGAUUUUUUUGGGGAUUUUUUGGUGGAUUUUGGGGUGAGGAAAUGAGGAUUUUGGAGUGUGGGGGAGGGGCCAGGUGUGUCCAGGUGUGUCCCCAGGUGUGUCCAGGUGUCCCCAGGUGCGUUCCAGACCAGGUUCCAGAACGUUCUAGAGGUUCUAGACUCGGUUCUAGAUCGGGUUCUAGAUCGGGUUCUAGAACGUUCUAGGUACGUUCCAGAUCAGGUUCUAGAACGUUCUAGAUCGGGUUCUAGGUGUGCUCUAGGUACGUUCUAGAGGUUCUAGAUCACGUUCUAGAACGUUCUAGACUCGGUUCUAGACUCGGUUCUCGAUCGGGUUCCGGACUGUUCCAGAACCGGUUCCAGACUGGGUUCCAGAGCAGGUUCCAGACUGGGUCCCCAGGUGUGUCCAGGUGUGUCCCAGGUGUCCCCAGGUGUGUCCAGGUGUCCCCAGGUGUGUUCAGGUGUUCUCCAGGUGUGUUCAGGUGUGUCCAGGUGUUCUCCAGGUGUAUCUCAGGUGUAUUUUAGGUGUCCCCAGCUGUUCUAGGUGUAUCUCAGGUGUCCCCAGGUGUAUCUCAGGUGUAUCUCAGGUGUCCCCAGGUGUAUCUCAGGUGUGUCCCCAGCUGUCCCCAGCUGUGUCCCAGGUGUGUCCCCAGCCCCCCCAGGUGUGUCCAGGUGUGUCCAGGUGUCCCCAGGUGUAUCUGAGGUGUCCCCAGGUGUGUCCCCAGGUGUUCCAGGUGUGUCCCCAGCUGUGUCAGGUGUAUCCAGGUGUAUCUCAGGUGUCCCCAGCUGUUCCAGGUGUCCCCAGGUGUGUCCCAGGUGUAUCUCAGGUGUAUCUCAGGUGUAUCCAGGUGUCCCCAGGUGUAUCUCAGGUGUGUCCCCAGCUGUCCCCAGGUGUCCCCAGGUGUCCCCAGGUGUCCCAGGUGUCCCCUGUCCCCGCAGGAAGAUCCAGGAGGAAUCUCUCCGCACGUACCUGUUCACCUACAGCAGCGUCUACGACUCCAUCAGGUGGAUUUGGGCUGAAAAACGGGGA